GACGAACGCUGGCGGCGUGCUUAACACAUGCCAGUCGAACGGUGAAGCUCCAGCUUGCUGGAGUGGAUCAGUGGCGAACGGGUGAGUAACACGUGAGCAACCUGCCCCUGACUCUGGAAUAAGCGCUGGAAACGGCGUCUAAUACUGGAUACGAGAAGGGUCCGCAUGGGCACUUUCUGGAAAGUUGUUCGGUUGGGGAUGGGCUCGCGGCCUACCAGCUUGUUUGUGAGGUAAGGGCUCACCAAGGCUACGACGGGUAGCCGGCCUGAGAGGCCGACCGGCCACCAUGCGACUAAGACACGGCACAGACUCCUACGGGAGGCAGCAGUGGGGAAUAUUGCACAAUGGGCGAAAGCCUGAUGCAGCGACGCCGCGUGAGGGAUGACGGGCUUCGGGUUGUAAACCUCUUUCAGCAGGGAAGAAGCGAAAGUGACGGUACCUGCAGAAGAAGCACCGGCUAACUACGUG
RNAcentral lists this ribosomal RNA (468 nucleotides) under uncultured bacterium. RNAcentral's name for it is "partial 16S ribosomal RNA". It matches the Rfam family "Bacterial small subunit ribosomal RNA", at positions 28 to 507 of the family's 1533-position model. The record is from RNAcentral.